This 612-nucleotide long non-coding RNA is filed under the name Cricetulus griseus (Chinese hamster). RNAcentral's name for it is "lncRNA (ENSCGRG00000026556.1)". Lineage: Eukaryota; Metazoa; Chordata; Mammalia; Rodentia; Cricetidae. The record is from RNAcentral.
GGAAAAAGGAAGGUGAAGCAAACGCUGCCGUCUUGGCAGCUGUUAAGUCGGGGUUUGUACAUGGGUGUUUAUUACACCUUUUUAAAAAUUCUUUGGAAUGUUAACAAAACAAUGCAGCGGGUGGGGGAGAGAGACAGACAGACAUAGAGCCAGAAACUAUGAAUGAGAACGUAUGGCGGUGAGAAGCUCCACAAAAGUAGUUUGGGGCUGCCAUUGCCAGGCGUUUCCUCUCUUGUGCGUCUCUCCUGGCUCAGCAUUCCGGAUGAUCCUAGCUUUCCCCGAGAAGUUGUGAUUUCUCAUCUCUUCUUGCUCGGAAGGCGAGACAACUCCCCAGAGGUUCAUUUCCAGGAUUCCUCACACCGGAAACAGAGCGAGUCUGCAGAGAAGGAUGAAUAACCAUGAUGACACUCUUGGCAAUCGGGACACUGGGAACCUGGCCCCGCCGAAGCUUGUAGCUGAUGUCCUCACUGCAGGGUCAUCUGCACUGUAAAGCAGGGGAUCAAAUCCUGCAUCACUUGUCAUCUGACACUGGGAAAGUCACUAGACCUCUUCGAGCCUCCAUUCUUUAUCUGUGAAAUGAUGGCUGUGUGUACCUCCUAAAAUAAUACGGGC